Molecule: long non-coding RNA, 122 nt
Organism: Orcinus orca (killer whale)
Lineage: Eukaryota; Metazoa; Chordata; Mammalia; Artiodactyla; Delphinidae
Exons: 2
Source: RefSeq, a predicted model, not a curated record
GGAAGAUCCCACAUGCUCCACAACUACUGAGCCCACAAGCCACAACUACUGAGCCCACACACCUAGAGUCCGCGCACCACAAUGAAGACCCAAUGCAGCCAAAAUUAAUUAAUUAAUUAAUU